GUAGGUGAACCUGCGGAAGGAUCAUUCAUAAUAAGUGUUUAUGGCACUUCUUAAAUCCAUAUCCACCUUGUGUGCAAUGUCAGCCGUUUUCUUUAUGAAAGCGGCCAAACAUCAACUUAUUUUUUAACUGUCUGUCUGAUAACAUAUUAUGAAUAUACUUAAUUCAAAAUAUAACUUUCAACAACGGAUCUCUUGGCUCUCGCAUCGAUGAAGAACGCAGCAUCUGACUGACUCAGGUCUGUAUUAUCUC
RNAcentral lists this unclassified non-coding RNA (250 nucleotides) under plant metagenome. RNAcentral's name for it is "partial contains small subunit ribosomal RNA, internal transcribed spacer 1, and 5.8S ribosomal RNA". The record is from RNAcentral.